AGUCCCUUGGGGGAGGCUUCUGGUGAAGGAGGAUCGCUGGAACCAAGCUGUCCUCUCAAGCUAGUUGCAGCAGCCCCUCCUCCCAGCCACCUCCACCAAUCUCUCACUCACCUUUGGCUCCUUCCCUUAGGGUUACCUGGGUUGCCAAGCCUUGUCUGAGAUGAUCCAGUUUUACCUGGAGGAGGUGAUGCCCCAAGCUGAGAACCAAGACCCAGACAUCAAGGAGCAUGUGAACUCCCUGGGGGAGAACCUGAAGACCCUCAGGCUGAGGCUGCGGCGCUGUCAUCGAUUUCUUCCCUGUGAAAACAAGAGCAAGGCCGUGCAGCAGGUGAAGAAUGCCUUUAAUAAGGUGAGCUUGGAUGGUGGCAGAGAGGGUCUGCAGAGCACAGCCCAUGCCCACUCCCCAACGCCAAAGCGUGGAAGGUGGUGGGGACUCAAUAGGCCCCAUCCUUCAUUGGAGAGAGUGUGGGAACCUGACAGAUGGUAUGACCUGCUCAACCAGUGAGGAGCUGCUGCCUUGAUUGUAUUUGUUUUCUGUUAAGUGUCUUUGGGGGUUU
RNAcentral lists this small RNA (557 nucleotides) under Pongo abelii (Sumatran orangutan). RNAcentral describes it as "retained intron". Lineage: Eukaryota; Metazoa; Chordata; Mammalia; Primates; Hominidae. The record is from RNAcentral.